AUAUAUUUCUCGGCCUUUUGGCUAAGAUCAAGUAUAGUAUCUGUUUAUUAGUUUAAUAUCUGAUACGUAGGCUAAUGGCUUACGCGAUAUUAAAUUAAUUUUUGAGGGUCAGAACCUUUCAUAGUAGCUUACUUCAGGAGGAGGAUCGAGCUCAAAUUUGAGCUUAAUCGAGUUUGAGUCUUGAGUUUUAAUC
Hibiscus syriacus is the source of this 193-nucleotide small nuclear RNA. RefSeq annotates it as U2 spliceosomal RNA. The record is from RefSeq and is a predicted model, not a curated record. The transcript has a single exon. Lineage: Eukaryota; Viridiplantae; Streptophyta; Magnoliopsida; Malvales; Malvaceae.